Molecule: ribosomal RNA, 451 nt
Filed under: Pseudomonas sp.
Lineage: Bacteria; Pseudomonadati; Pseudomonadota; Gammaproteobacteria; Pseudomonadales; Pseudomonadaceae
Description: bacterial SSU rRNA
Rfam family: Bacterial small subunit ribosomal RNA
Source: RNAcentral
AGCUUGCUCCUGAAUUCAGCGGCGGACGGGUGAGUAAUGCCUAGGAAUCUGCCUGGUAGUGGGGGACAACGUUUCGAAAGGAACGCUAAUACCGCAUACGUCCUACGGGAGAAAGCAGGGGACCUUCGGGCCUUGCGCUAUCAGAUGAGCCUAGGUCGGAUUAGCUAGUUGGUGAGGUAAUGGCUCACCAAGGCGACGAUCCGUAACUGGUCUGAGAGGAUGAUCAGUCACACUGGAACUGAGACACGGUCCAGACUCCUACGGGAGGCAGCAGUGGGGAAUAUUGGACAAUGGGCGAAAGCCUGAUCCAGCCAUGCCGCGUGUGUGAAGAAGGUCUUCGGAUUGUAAAGCACUUUAAGUUGGGAGGAAGGGCAGUAAAUUAAUACUUUGCUGUUUUGACGUUACCGACAGAAUAAGCACCGGCUAACUCUGUGCCAGCAGCCGCGGUAAU